GAUGAAGAACGUAGUGAAAUGCGAUAAGUAAUGUGAAUUGCAGAAUUCAGUGAAUCAUCGAAUCUUUGAACGCACAUUGCGCCCGCCAGUAUUCUGGCGGGCAUGCCUGUUCGAGCGUCAUUUCAACCAUCAAGCCCCCGGCUUGUGUUGGGGACCUGCGGCUGCCGCAGGCCCUGAAAAGCAGUGGCGGGCUCGCUGUCACACCGAGCGUAGUAGAUUUCAUCUCGCUCAGGGCGUGCUGCGGGUUCCGGCCGUUAAACCACCUUCAUAACCCAAGGUUGACCUCGGAUCAGGUAGGAAGACCCGCUGAACUUAAGCAUAUCAAUAAGGGAGGA
Molecule: unclassified non-coding RNA, 335 nt
Filed under: soil metagenome
Description: partial contains 5.8S ribosomal RNA, internal transcribed spacer 2, and large subunit ribosomal RNA
Rfam family: 5.8S ribosomal RNA (bases 1-120)
Source: RNAcentral